CCUACGGGAGGCUGCAGUGGGGAAUAUUGGACAAUGGGGGGAACCCUGAUCCAGCCAUGCCGCGUGUGUGAAGAAGGCCCUCGGGUUGUAAAGCACUUUCAGUGAGGAAGAACGCCUGGUGGUUAAUACCCAUCAGGAAAGACAUCACUCACAGAAGAAGCACCGGCUAACUCCGUGCCAGCAGCCGCGGUAAUACGGAGGGUGCGAGCGUUAUUCGGAAUUACUGGGCGUAAAGCGCGCGUAGGUGGCUUGAUAAGCCGGUUGUGAAAGCCCCGGGCUCAACCUGGGAACGGCAUCCGGAACUGUCAAGCUAGAGUGCAGGAGAGGAAGGUAGAAUUCCCGGUGUAGCGGUGAAAUGCGUAGAGAUCGGGAGGAAUACCAGUGGCGAAGGCGGCCUUCUGGACUGACACUGACACUGAGGUGCGAAAGCGUGGGUAGCAAACAGGAUUAGAUACCCGAGUAGUC
Molecule: ribosomal RNA, 465 nt
Filed under: Vreelandella stevensii
Lineage: Bacteria; Pseudomonadati; Pseudomonadota; Gammaproteobacteria; Oceanospirillales; Halomonadaceae
Description: partial 16S ribosomal RNA
Rfam family: Bacterial small subunit ribosomal RNA
Source: RNAcentral